This 537-nucleotide ribosomal RNA is filed under the name Campsocnemis sp. UCR ENT 00128736. RNAcentral's name for it is "partial large subunit ribosomal RNA". It matches the Rfam family "Bacterial large subunit ribosomal RNA", at positions 1810 to 2624 of the family's 2925-position model. The record is from RNAcentral. Lineage: Eukaryota; Metazoa; Arthropoda; Insecta; Hemiptera; Reduviidae.
AAAACAUGUCCUUUUGUUAUUUAUAUAAGGUCUGGCCUGCCCAAUGAUGUUUUUAAUGGCCGCGGUAUUUUAACCGUGCUAAGGUAGCAUAAUCAUUUGUCUUUUAAUUAAGGGCUGGAAUGAAAGGUUGGACGAGAUAUUGACUUUCUUUUAUUUAAUUUUUGAAUUUGAUUUUUAAGUGAAAAAGCUUAGAUUUUUUUGUUGGACGAGAAGACCCUAUAGAUCUUUAUAUUUUUUGUAUUUGUAAUAUUUAGGGAUUGAUUAUUUAUGAUUAUUAAGGAUAUUUGAUUGGGGUGAUUGCAGAAUUAAAAAAACUUCUGUUAUUUUUUCAUUAAUUAGUGUUUUUAUGAUCCGUUUAUAUUGAUUAUAAGAUUAAGUUACCUUAGGGAUAACAGCGUAAUUUCUACGGAGAGUCCAUAUUGAUGUAGGAGUUUGCGACCUCGAUGUUGGAUUAAAAUUAGUCUUGAAUGUAGCAGUUUGAUGACUAGGUCUGUUCGACCUUUAAUUUUUUACAUGAUCUGAGUUCAAAACCGGAGA